Molecule: unclassified non-coding RNA, 338 nt
Filed under: soil metagenome
Description: partial contains 5.8S ribosomal RNA, internal transcribed spacer 2, and large subunit ribosomal RNA
Rfam family: 5.8S ribosomal RNA (bases 1-120)
Source: RNAcentral
GAUGAAGAACGCAGCGAAAUGCGAUAAGUAAUGUGAAUUGCAGAAUUCCGUGAAUCAUCGAAUCUUUGAACGCACAUUGCGCCCCCUGGUAUUCCGGGGGGCAUGCCUGUCCGAGCGUCAUUGCAACCCUCAAGCGCGGCUUGUGUGUUGGGCUUCGUCCCCCCGUGGACGUGCCCGAAAGGCAGUGGCGGCGUCCCGAAUGGUGCCCGAGCGUAUGGGAACUCUCUUCCGCUCGAACCGGCCCAUUCGGCGCUGGUCGAACCCCAAUUUUUUUUACCGGUUGACCUCGGAUCAGGUAGGGAUACCCGCUGAACUUAAGCAUAUCAAUAAGCGGAGGA